GCCCGGUAGCUAAAUGCGGAAGAGAUAAGUGCUGAAAGCAUCUAAGCACGAAACUUGCCCCGAGAUGAGUUCUCCCUGACUCCUUGAGAGUCCUGAAGGAACGUUGAAGACGACGACGUUGAUAGGCCGGGUGUGUAAGCGCAGCGAUGCGUUGAGCUAACCGGUACUAAUGAACCGUGAGGCUUAACCUU
This 191-nucleotide ribosomal RNA is filed under the name Pseudomonas aeruginosa. RNAcentral describes it as "partial 23S ribosomal RNA". It matches the Rfam family "Bacterial large subunit ribosomal RNA", at positions 2740 to 2925 of the family's 2925-position model. Lineage: Bacteria; Pseudomonadati; Pseudomonadota; Gammaproteobacteria; Pseudomonadales; Pseudomonadaceae. RNAcentral also lists the same sequence under 1 other name. The record is from RNAcentral.